CCUGAGUGGUGUUUGGCGUGUUUUGUGUGAUGGAUCCCUGCUCGGGCAGCGACAUCAUCUCAUCCGCGCCUCUUCAGUUUUAGGCGCGAGCAUUUGCUCGCCCGACGUCGGUUCUCCUGUGCUGAAUACCCGCGUAUGAGGCAUGCUGCCGGUUAAAUCGUCCCUUUCCCGCUCCGUGCUGCUGCUCCUCGUGGGCAAGCGGUGCGGGGUGGGCCAAACAGCGCAUGCCGCGUGUCCCUUCCCAUCGACAUUGUAAAAGUGCGAUUGGGCAGACGAUGCACGGCGUGUUGCUCGGUCUCUCGGGUACGGAAUAUCGUGUGGGUACGGGGCCAUCGGCCUCGGAGCACCACAAACAAGCGUUCUACGCUUCGUGCGAACGACAGCUGUUUCGGCUUCCGGCCGAGCUCUCGUGGCUCGUUUCGGGGUCGUGACGGCGUCGAUGAGGAAUGCUACCU
RNAcentral lists this unclassified non-coding RNA (455 nucleotides) under Satureja pilosa subsp. origanita. RNAcentral describes it as "partial external transcribed spacer". Lineage: Eukaryota; Viridiplantae; Streptophyta; Magnoliopsida; Lamiales; Lamiaceae. The record is from RNAcentral.